AGCCUCAUUCCAGAUGAAAGUGGGCACUGUUGUUCAUGGCAUCCAGAAAUUAUUAAUGUAGCUAUAUUGAGACACAAGUUAUGCUUCCAUCACAGUAGGUUUGUUCCAGUGGUGACAGUGAAACCUGUAACAUUU
Equus asinus (donkey) is the source of this 135-nucleotide small nucleolar RNA. NCBI's taxonomy places the organism in Eukaryota, Metazoa, Chordata, Mammalia, Perissodactyla, Equidae. The record is from Ensembl.